Long non-coding RNA from Homarus americanus (American lobster), 493 nucleotides. RefSeq lists it as uncharacterized. The transcript has 2 exons. NCBI's taxonomy places the organism in Eukaryota, Metazoa, Arthropoda, Malacostraca, Decapoda, Nephropidae. The record is from RefSeq and is a predicted model, not a curated record.
UGAUCUCCACCCGUGUACACUGUCGGGGUUACUACGACAGGAAGGCGAGUAUCAGUAUUACCAGCAAGAGAAAGAGCACAAACUGUGUUAACAAGAGGAAGAAAAGAUAGGUACAGCAACAAAUGUGUCUACAGGAGAACGCUACAGCAGCAGGAAGAGGCAGGUGGCAAGGAGUAUCGGGAACAUGCGCCGUGGCGAGCUGAGAGGGAGGGAGGGAGAGGGACCCGACACACACCUCUCACUCAGUGAUCCCCGGACCAUCGGUGUGAGGCCGUCUUUCACCACCGCUCCAUUUUACUACACAAUAUCUUCCCUACUCUCCUUACAACCCAAGGUUGGUGGAUCGUCGGACUGGCAGCGGCGUAUAGGAAGUAUCGUCCGGACCAGCCAAAACAUUUCGCCUCCUCUGAAUAAAUGAAAGAAGAAUUACAUAGUCUAGGCUGACAUAACACAACGAAUGACACGUAGUGAUAUAAUAAUGGUUUCCUAAGAA